ACGCCGCCGCGACAUCGCACCGCAACCAGUUCGGCCCCGUGCAGCAUGGCCGGAUACCGACGCCGCCGCAACAUCUAGCGAUGCCGUCACCAAUCUCGCCAGGUAGGUUGACCCCGAAGCAUCCUGGGAGAAGGAUUGCCGUUUCUUACGGCCGGCCAUUGCUGUUCUUCCAUCAUCGCCAGGUACGCCAAGAUUGUUCUUCCAUCAUCUGCAGUUAUACUGUAUGACCGUGAAAAGAACUAUUGUUGCUGCCGCGGCUGAUUCUUGUUUCUUACGGCCGGCCAAACCGACGGGAUUCUGAUUUAUUGUGCGCGUUCUUGCGGUUCCGAUUUGCAGCAUCAGCUGAUGGACGCAGAUGCGUUUCUCUUUCAAUGUGAUAGAUUGGUCCAACUGUUAGCCAAAUUCAGUUAGCUAGAUAGGGAUUUGAUAGAGUAAUAAGAAUUAAUGAUUUAAUAGCAGUAGUUCUUGGCAUCCAUGCUCUAAAAAAACAGAGCAAAGAGGAUGGAGUUACAUUGGUUCAGUGCUGGCUAACAGUUCGUGUCAAAUUCGUCUUCCCUCGUCUUAUUUUGUCACUGGCCUUAAGGGACGUGUGAUUCCUGUACUUAUAGCUGCCUUAAGCCCUUAAAUAGUGGGCACACACGACAGUUUCAGAUACUGGUCUACAUUACCUACUCCCUCUACAUGGUUAUGUCUGACUGCCAGGGACGAAAUCACUUAAACUGUCUACGGUCCAGCUGAAAAUUUCAAGCUCAAGCAGAUGACCGAAAAACUCUGCCAUGAGGAAAACAAAAAUGCAAAGUUGAACGAAAGCUUGCAACUGAUGCAGCUCAAAUAAGCUUCUAAUGAAAAUAUCUUCAGGAGAACACUUCAGGAUAAGAUAAGGGAGACUGAGCAAGCAUGCAGAACUCAGCAACAGCGGGUACAUCCAUGAGGCCACUUCUUGCCGCUCGAGGCAAGCAACAACAUGCAGCCACUGCCGGGCCCUUCCAUACUGAGGCUUGAUGAUAGGGAACUUCAGUAAGAGAACAUUCCUGUGGUGAAUAAAGCAGUUGUAGACAAGGCUGCUGGCCAAGCUCGGCGUGUAUGUUUAGUUCCCAUGAUGCGAUAAAUCCCUCUCCAGCCUAAGAGGCGAUCCUCGUUUGCGGUCCUUCCAAUCAAGAGAGAGCGGAUCUCAAUUCAACAAGCAGCAGCAGAACCGACAGUUGAUGAAACUGCUGACGUGAGGCAAGUUCAAAGGCCUCUAGUUCGGCAGCAAGAGCAAGUUCUCAAGCCCUCAAAUGUUCAAGUCAAGGAACAAUAUUGCAGGUUCUGGAAAUGUUUGGAAUGAUCAAAUUGUUGUGGAAAACGGACAUUGCUUGGAGAAAACGAGUGUCUGGGAGCUUGUGUUGAUAAGAAAACUUGUGUUAGUGUUCUUUUUGGUGAUGAUAUAUGUUCUACUUUUAGGGUUGUGUAUAAUUAUACCGUGAAGCUGCUCGCGUGUGUUACUUAUAAGACAACUAGAGCACUUAUAAGACAACUAGAGCAGCAUAGCAUAACUCGAUUA
Lolium perenne is the source of this 1543-nucleotide long non-coding RNA. RefSeq lists it as uncharacterized. The record is from RefSeq and is a predicted model, not a curated record. Lineage: Eukaryota; Viridiplantae; Streptophyta; Magnoliopsida; Poales; Poaceae.